Molecule: ribosomal RNA, 497 nt
Filed under: uncultured bacterium
Lineage: Bacteria
Description: partial 16S ribosomal RNA
Rfam family: Bacterial small subunit ribosomal RNA
Source: RNAcentral
GAUGAACGCUGGCGGCGUGCCUAAUACAUGCGAGUCGAGCGAACAGACGAGGAGCUUGCUCCUCUGACGUUAGCGGCGGACGGGUGAGUAACACGUGGAUAACCUACCUAUAAGACUGGGAUAACUUCGGGAAACCGGAGCUAAUACCGGAUAAUAUAUUGAACCGCAUGGUUCAAUAGUGAAAUACGGUUUUUCUGUCACUUAUAGAUGGAUCCGCGCCGCAUUAGCUAGUUGGUAAGGUAACGGCUUACCAAGGCAACGAUGCGUAGCCGACCUGAGAGGGUGAUCGGCCACACUGGAACUGAGACACGGUCCAGACUCCUACGGGAGGCAGCAGUAGGGAAUCUUCCGCAAUGGGCGAAAGCCUGACGGAGCAACGCCGCGUGAGUGAUGAAGGUCUGCGGAUCGUAAAACUCUGUUAUUAGGGAAGAACAAAUGUGUAAGUAACUAUGCACGUCUUGACGGUACCUAAUCAGAAAGCCACGGCUAACUACGUG